Molecule: transfer RNA, 66 nt
Filed under: Shoveliteratura triangula
Lineage: Eukaryota; Metazoa; Arthropoda; Insecta; Orthoptera; Tettigoniidae
Description: tRNA-Phe
Source: RNAcentral
GUUUAAAUAGCUUAUGAAGAGUGUAACACUGAAGAUGUUAAGGAAAUUAAUUGGAAUUUUUAAACA